This 3615-nucleotide long non-coding RNA is filed under the name Gallus gallus (chicken). Lineage: Eukaryota; Metazoa; Chordata; Aves; Galliformes; Phasianidae. The record is from RNAcentral.
CUGUCCAUUAGAAAACCAAAGUAAUAAGAUUUUAUGGUUUGGCUACUAAGUCAACAUGGUUAGCUAAACUUUGGCUUAUGGAGUUCUGCUAUUUUUAUGGUACAGUUAAAUAUAAGAGACUUAGCCUGAGGAUGGGCUAAUAAACUAGAAAUAUUUUCCCUCCAGUUCACCCCCAUCAGUCUUAAUAGUUUAUUGCUUUUCUCUGCUCAGUUUUGGUCCAUGUGAAAGUAGUGAAAACCUGUUCAGUCCUUGCACUGUUGUAAGACUGAUUCCUGUGAAGAAACAGGCUGCUAAAAAGAGAACUGGUGAGCUCAAAGAAAGAUACCCACUUCUACCAUGUUCUAGGAAGACCUCUAUGUCAACAGUACAAAUAUAAGCAUGAUGCCAGAUGUUCUGAAAAUUUCCUUGGGUCCCUCUUUCUGAGAGUUCGGGAGUGAAAGGAGCUGAUUUGGUUUAAAGGUUCUCUGAAGAUUAAUAUUAUCCCUCAUUUGCAGAACCAUUAAAAACUUGUAAUCAAGCAAAUGAGAACGUAAAUCUGUACAUUUUGGACAGAUUUUCUACAAUCAUUCCCAAACAUAAUUUUUUAAGUGAUAGGAUCACAUUUCAUCUGAAUAUCAAGAAGUUGAAAUCUACAGCUGAAUGCAUCUCUUGUCAGAUAGUCCAUAUCUGAGAAAGGAGAUGAGAAGUAGCUUCUUGUGGAUUGCAGAUUGCAGAGUACUAACCCCAUAAGCAGAUUGCAGAGUACUUACUGAAAGAUUCAAGGUAUGAAUUUAUAUUGCAUACUUACUGGGAUUAUUUCAAGGUAGCAAAAACAAUAACAUUGUUAGCAAUGAUUUAGAAAAAAAAGCUGUUCUCCUUUUGUUUAUGACUUCAGAACGAAUGCAUUACUUUCCAUCUCAGAGGGCCGGUAAAUAGAUAAAACUUUUAACAACUGUAGGGUGCACUGAUACUCUACUGAUAUGAAAUAUAAAUAUCUAGCAUCUAACUCUGGAUCUGUGUUGUCUAUGCAAAGGCAAAGUCUGAUUUAAAUGGGAUUAGCAGUGUGCAUGAAUUUAAGCAUGUCCAUAAAUGUCUGCAAGGCUUUAGUUAUUCAGUGCACUCAUUAUCUCAAUUUGUUGUUUCAUGGAAUUGUUCCAAGUAUCUCAUCUAAUCAGAUCCUCCUGCAGGCACAACAUAUGCUCACAAUAAUGUUAGCUAUAUAUAGAUCCCUCCACAAUUGUGAAAGAUCAAUGGAACAUUUUUAUUGCCAGUGCAUGUAUGUGUCUGUGAAUUAUCCUUCAGGAAUUACAAUCCCUCGAUGAGAUUACAGUGUGAAUUCUAAUGGGUAUAAAGCUGAUGGCAGAAGUGUAAUUUCUCAAAUAAAAGCAUUAUAAUUAAAUAUAAUGUAUACAAACAUACAGCAAUGCAGUAUAAAUAAUAUAAAAUGGAUACAAGUAAUAUGAUUUAAUUAAAAAACAAGCUUGACACUAUUGCUUGUAUACCAGUUGCAAAUUCAAUCCAUAAAUAAAGAAAAACAAUGUCAUUGUGCUGAAUGAAAAUCAGCCAGAUGUUCUUCAUUGAAAAUGUUUACCUCGGUAGUAAAGCAUGUUUAUUUCAGGCACCUAAUGACUGACCUUUGAUAUUUAAGCUUGAAAUGCAGAUGGCAAAUAGCCCAGAUAAUUCCGUUCUCCAUAAUGCUGUUGUAAAUCUGUUGUGUACUGUAUAUUAUGGAAAGUAGAGUAAAAUGUGACAUAAAGGUUGUGGCCUAUUUCUGCUUUCUUUGUUGCUUUCAUCUACAAAGGCAUUCAUAGGAAUCAAUUAAAGUAUGUAUAAAAUAUUACUUGAAAUGUAAACCCAUCAGAAUUUGACUCUUUAGAGCCUGAAAGUACUUAAUAGUACUUUUCAUUUACUCACCCUAUUUAAAUGACAGUCAACAAUAGAACUAAGAACAUUUCUGUCUUGCUAUAGAGGUGAUUGUAUUAGAUAUUAGAAUUACUAAAUAAUUUUACCUACUGGAUGGAUUCAGCAUGAAGCAGUGUAAAAUUAAUUUGAUAGCAUAUAGUUUAUCCAAUGUUACUAUCUUUGUUUCUAGAUAUAUAACUUCCUUUCUGCCAUGCUAUUCAAUAUAUUCUUUUGAUAACAGCCGGAAAAAUUGUGCUGUGAAACUAAAUAUUACAUUUUUUUUCCUUAUGAUCAUUUGCCACUUUUAAAUUUCUAUCAAAGUUCAGGAUAUCUAGAUGGAAAAAUUCAAAUAUUAGCACUUUCAAACAGUGAAAAUGAACUUAAUGCAUCUAAAAUGCCAGGUUCAACAAAGGAUUGGAGGUGGGAGGAAUUAAUGAGGUUUAUGUUGAUCUUAAAUCUGAACAUCCCUUUUUAUUUAAAUAAUAUAUAUAUGGUCUACAUACAUGCAUAUGCAUACACUCACCUGACUGAAGAGACAUUGAUUAGAUAAUGUAGUCAAUAUGUACUCUCCAUUUUUCAAGACAGAAUUCACAUAGAUAUUCAACACUAUUUUAUUCAGGAAUAAAAAACUAUUUAAGAUGUAACUUCCAUUUGCUUCUUUACCUCCUCUGUGUUCCUUUGAGCAUAGGUCUGCUUGCAGACACAUUCAAGUACUAAAAGGGCCAGAAGUUACAAAUGAGUUACAGGUAGCAAGUCUAUAAACAACUAUCAGACAGCAUGAUUUUGUUAUUUAAAAUACAUCUGUAUUUCUUGUCUGUGCAUACACCCCAGUAGCAUUUUGGUAACUUUGGCUUUUCUUUUUUAUCUGGAUUUGCUAAUACACAAAACAGUAAGCAAGGUUAAAACUUAAGCAUUGUACAGACUGGUAAAGACAUUGAUGCCACGUCGUACCUCUACAGAAUCCAAUUUGGUAUUAAUGGAAACAAAAUUGUCUACCACAAGAAUAUGAUUAAACUUAUUUCAUUCUUUUCUUUACCUUUCAAUUUUUGGAGGGAUGCAUAUUAGACCCAACAGAAAUGGGUGAGUCUGAACCAUCACAACUGUAAUGACAGCCCUUCAUUUAAGUAUUUUUACCAUAUAAUAAUUCCUCUGUUCCCAGUCUAAUGUAUUUAUUUGAAGCAUGUAUGUUUGUCUUGAGUACAUUAAUGUCUCCAGAUACAUAUGAUUAUAGGCAGUGAGUGCUUAGUGACAGUCCCUGUAUUAAGAAAUAAACAUUGUGUUUUGUCUGGCUGUCUAUCAGUGGAUCUCAGCUGCUGGUCCAUCAUGGUCCUUAUGGUGACCCCCAAAGUCACAGCUGACAAGCACAAAGAAGGUGGUGCCAAGAAUUAAGAUGGGGGAUGAGCAAUGGUUCAAGAAGUGCAGGUUCAAAUUUGAUUGUACUCGAACAUAUCCUUAAUGUAAGUUUUUCACCAAAUUUUGUUUGGCCUCUAGUUCUUUAGGUGUCAGAGCUGCCUUUCUUGCAGCUUUUUUUUUUAUAUUUUAUUUUUGGCUCCCUCCUGAAACCAGAGAGUAAUACUUACCAAUUGUAGGAUGCAUUGUAUUAACUGAUGUAUACUAUUAGAUAAUGGGCACUGAUGAAAGCUUAGUUUUAGUCAAGUUUUAAUGUUUGUUGUACAUAGUGCUAAAUGGUGUCUUCCAACAUUUUGAUAUGCACAAAUGAGAACUGUAGAGCAG